Molecule: long non-coding RNA, 1051 nt
Organism: Megalops cyprinoides (Indo-Pacific tarpon)
Lineage: Eukaryota; Metazoa; Chordata; Actinopteri; Elopiformes; Megalopidae
Exons: 6
Source: RefSeq, a predicted model, not a curated record
AGAAAGAACAUUUGCUGAAUUGCAUGUCAAGUUUGACCAAUACAAAAUGUUUGCUAUUAGAUAUUUCUUUCUUGUAUUAUGGAUCUGCUUUACUGCUGUGGUCAAGGCACAGAAUGAAAAAGAUUACUGUGAACUACCUACACUGUCACAUGGGGCAAUCUUAACCAAACACGAACCAUACAGGAAUGAUGAAGAACUACAGUUUAAGUGCUAUGCUCCAUACAUGCCAACAAAUGAUGGCAGUGUCACUUGCAAAAAUGGAGAGUGGGAUGGACCAGUGGAAUGCAGAGUUCAAGAUGUACCAUGCGGACCACCACCAGUACCGGACCAUGGAGAUAUAAAAGAAAAAAAGAUGAACCGUGGUGUAAUUAAACAGGUCACCUAUCAGUGUCAAAGAUAUUAUAAGCUGAGAGAAUCAACCCCAGUAAAAUGCCAGCAGGGACAAUGGACACCAACUCCAAUAUGUUUAAGUCCUUGUGUGAUAGUAAAUAUUGACCCAAGGUAUAACCUUGAACAGCCAACUCAAACAAUAUAUAUUGAGGAGGGGAAAGAGGGGCAACUUCGUUGCAAAAGAGGUUAUUAUUAUAGGUCUGGUUGGAAUUAUUCCUACGAAGCACCUGCAAGUUGCCGUAAUGGACAAGUACAAUUCAAAGCAUGUGAAUCAUUCUGAGGCAAGGCAUAUGUUUCAAGGAUGUCUUCUGAACUAUAAACAGGUCAUGGAUUUUUUUUUGCCAUCCUCCUGAAAUGAAGAUACCAUCACAAGAACAUUAUGCAAUUGUUUAUUGUAAACAAAUUACAUCAAAUGUGUAAUAAGUAUCCAUUGUCAUAUUUCCUUAGAAAAAUUGCUUUGAUUUAUGCAAGUAUAAAGUAUAAGGCAGUAGUUUCCUAGUGUUGAAAUGUUCUGACCCCUGUACAAUGCACAGAAAGGUGCCAUGUACAUGUGGUCUAGCCAGGUUUUGUAUGAAAAUACAGUGUAUUCUUUACCCUCUUUAUUCAAACAGUAUGAAUAAACUUACAAAGGACUCUUAAAUACCAAGACUCUUGAAUAUCA